RNAcentral lists this non-coding RNA (28 nucleotides) under Homo sapiens (human). Lineage: Eukaryota; Metazoa; Chordata; Mammalia; Primates; Hominidae. The record is from RNAcentral.
UCCAAACUCUUUUGGAGGUGUCAGCCGU